This 497-nucleotide ribosomal RNA is filed under the name uncultured bacterium. RNAcentral describes it as "partial 16S ribosomal RNA". It matches the Rfam family "Bacterial small subunit ribosomal RNA", at positions 28 to 507 of the family's 1533-position model. The record is from RNAcentral.
GAUGAACGCUGGCGGCGUGCCUAAUACAUGCAAGUCGAGCGAACAGACGAGGAGCUUGCUCCUCUGACGUUAGCGGCGGACGGGUGAGUAACACGUGGAUAACCUACCUAUAAGACUGGGAUAACUUCGGGAAACCGGAGCUAAUACCGGAUAAUAUAUUGAACCGCAUGGUUCAAUAGUGAAAGACGGUUUUGCUGUCACUUAUAGAUGGAUCCGCGCCGGAUUAGCUAGUUGGUAAGGUAACGGCUUACCAAGGCGACGAUGCGUAGCCGACCUGAGAGGGUGAUCGGCCACACUGGAACUGAGACACGGUCCAGACUCCUACGGGAGGCAGCAGUAGGGAAUCUUCCGCAAAGGGCGAAAGCCUGACGGAGCAACGCCGCGUGAGUGAUGAAGGUCUUCGGAUCGUAAAACUCUUUUAUUAGGGAAGAACAAAUGUGUAAGUAACUAUGCACGUCUUGACGGUACCUAAUCAGAAAGCCACGGCUAACUACGUG